UACGUAGGGCGCAAGCGUUAUCCGGAAUUAUUGGGCGUAAAGAGCUCGUAGGCGGUUUGUCGCGUCUGCCGUGAAAGUCCGGGGCUCAACUCCGGAUCUGCGGUGGGUACGGGCAGACUAGAGUGAUGUAGGGGAGACUGGAAUUCCUGGUGUAGCGGUGAAUGCGCAGAUAUCAGGAGGAACACCGGUGGCGAAGGCGGGUCUCUGGGCAACAACUGACGCUGAGGAGCGAAAGCGUGGGGAGCGAACAGG
This 252-nucleotide ribosomal RNA is filed under the name uncultured bacterium. RNAcentral describes it as "partial 16S ribosomal RNA". It matches the Rfam family "Bacterial small subunit ribosomal RNA", at positions 524 to 776 of the family's 1533-position model. The record is from RNAcentral.